This 2337-nucleotide long non-coding RNA is filed under the name Struthio camelus australis. Its description in RNAcentral is "lncRNA (ENSSCUG00000007605.1)". The record is from RNAcentral. Lineage: Eukaryota; Metazoa; Chordata; Aves; Struthioniformes; Struthionidae.
UUUAUUAUUUACUAGACAAGUAGAACACAGAGCUGGUGGGAAGCUCUGGUAUAGCCUCACUUUUUAAAUCAGCUGACAGAAAGAGGUACUUUUAAAUGGCGAAUGCUCUCAGAUAUCUGGGCAAACAGCGGUCCCUUCGCGACCACUGGCUUGCCGCGCCUUUGCUCUCGGACGCCCCCGCCCCCUGCCGCAAGUGCGCGUGGCUGUGGCAUGACAGCGCUGGCGGGACCCCGGUGUGCCCUGACUCGUCCGCUGUCCACCCACGCCACCCCGCUUUAAACAGCUGGUGCUUCCACUUCCCUGUUCUGUGUAGCAGGGAGAACAUGUCGCAACACAUUUUUUUUUUUUUAAAUCAUUGAAGCAUGAAAACUUGAGCGAAUCUGGUGGCUGCAUCGCUAUAUCGCUCGGAUAUUCAUGGCUCUCCGAGGCAGAACGUCGCACGGAGCAGACGAAGGGGAAGAGCCGCUGGAAGAGAGAGGACGCGGCCGGGACAAGGAUUCGGUCACCGCGAAACGACGGACGACUUGCUGGGAUAUUCCACCCUGUGCGCUGGAAGCUAUGGCCACAGCAGCCGGCGAUAUGCCUAAAAAGGGACUGUGGCUAGGCAUGGCUAGCUGCAAUUCUGGCAGCUGUGACAGCAUGGCCAGCACGACCUCGAAUCGCUCUGAGCGCAGUGAUAACAGUUAUGACUACUUAUCUGUGGAAGAGAAAGAGUNNNNNNNNNNNNNNNNNNNNNNNNNNNNNNNNNNNNNNNNNNNNNNGGCUCGCUGGAUGCAGAAGCAGACAGCGGCGUCUCUACCGAUGAGACUGACUCUGCUGAGCCUGCCAAGCUGCCAAGGACGUGGCCCAAGAGAGACUCUGGUCCCAGGGAUUUGGAAAAGGGGGCUCCCGCGCAAAGCACAGGCCAGCAGCGUGCAACCGAACAAAAAAGCGAACAAAAAGCGAGCGCCUUCUCCAGCUCUGCUCCGGCAGCGUUUUCAAGUCCGGGCUAUUACAGUCUUCCAAGGAAUAUCGCUGCAGCGAACGCGCAAAGAGCAAACAAAGCUUCUGACAGCAAAGCAACUGCCCACGCCAUGGGGGACCCAGUGCCAAAAGAGAAACCUUGGCAGGAGACGGCCAGGGAGGAAAGGCUGGAUCAAGCCAGCGCAAGAUCCCAGGCGAAGCCGCUGGGCUCGAUAAUUAUCCAACCUCCCGAAGCUUUCCAGGAGGCCGUGGCGGCGCGCGGGGGGCUCUUGCUCAGCAGGGGCUCGGAUGGCAGCAGGGGGAAGGCAGAGCCCGAGAGCCGGGCUGCGGCGCCAGACCCCGGCCCGGAGAGGGAAGGCGCAGCUCUCGCCCGAGGCCUGAUGGAGAAACCAGCCUUAGAGGAGGAUUCGGACGCCAAGCGUGGGCCUCCCACCGCCCCCAAGCCGAGGAAGCUGCCGCCCAAAAACACCAUCUCAGCCGUCUGCCACCUUCCCGGCCAGCUGUGCCACCGCCGAAAAGCCGAACCCAGGGCACCUGGACCCUAAGGAGAGGGAGAAGGCUCGCCGGGAGGCGUUAGAGAAGCUCGGGCUCCCUCAGGAUAAAAGGGAGCCCAAUAUCCCCCUUAAAGCUGUUACUUCGCCCAAACCAAAAGAGGCGCCUGGAGCUGCGAGGAGGGACAACGGCACCAGUGAGGACGCGGCUGCCAUCACGGCUGCCGGAAGCCCGAAGAGGAGCACCAGGUGCUCCGCGGCCCAACAGAGAGGGUCGCCCCGGGCGCGAGACAGGUCAGCUUCAAGUCCAACACCCUGGAGCGCUCCGGCGUGGGGCUCAGCAGCUACAUCUCCAGCAAGGACCAGAGCGUUAAGAGCAGCAGCUCGCUCGGCAAGAUGUCCUUCAUCGAGAGGAUAGCGCCAAGCUUCCUCCGGAGCAGCCGCCCUCGCCCGGCCUCCCUCGGGACGGGGAAAGACUUUGCCAGCCUCAAGGAGCCCAACAACGCGGAGCUGGAGAAAAGCAGCAAGCGGAGAUCCCACCCGCUGCCGAGCUUCUCCAAGCCGGCCCGCUCCUCCUGCGUCAGCGUCAAGAUCUCCCCCAAGGGCGCCACCGAAGAGCACAGGCGAGAGGCUCUCAAGAAGCUCGGCCUGCUGAAGGAGUAGCUCCCGCUCGGCGCCCUGGAGCGAAGCGUGAGGCCAUGGUAGCAGAGCCUGUCGCCCCGAUCCCGGCCCCUCGGCCACCUUUCUUCCUGCGGACAACUACGAGCGUCCCCGGCUGACGGGAUCCCUUGCCCCUAGCCUCUCGGGGGGGACGGACCUGAGCUGAUGCUGCCACCAGAGGUGUUCAGAGCUUCUUGCCAAAUAAAGUCACAUCACACGUACA